RNAcentral lists this long non-coding RNA (3488 nucleotides) under Homo sapiens (human). Its description in RNAcentral is "HSALNT0002367". Lineage: Eukaryota; Metazoa; Chordata; Mammalia; Primates; Hominidae. The record is from RNAcentral.
AAGUGAUCAUGGGAGAGGAACUGGUGGCUUUAUAAGAAAAGCAAGAGAGGGCUGAGCUAGCCUGUGAGCACUCAGCUUCUUCACCAGCUGAUGUCCUGCACCACUAUGGGACUCUGCAGAGAGUCAUCAGCAGCAAGAAGGACCUCACCAGAUGCAGCCCCUUGGCAAUGGACGUCUCAGCCUCCAUAACUAUCCCUUGCUUCAGGGCCCUGACCCACAGCCACCUGAGAGGCACGUGACAAUGGUGAGUGCUGGGUUGCCCUGGGAGAGGAUGGAGGGGUCACUCUGAAGAUCCCCACAGGUGGUGGAAGGAUGACAUGAGAUUGGGGUCAGAGUCAGAGCCGGCUACAAGCUUUUCUACAGACUCAGCUUCCUUUCCAGGCACAAAGAACGUGACUCUGCCUGUGCGUGGGAGACUGGGAGAGUGAGCACGUGCGCGUGUGUGCGUAUAUCUGUGCCUAUGCAUACUAGGUGUGUGGGUGUAUGCACCUGUGUGAGGAUGGGUGGAUGCAGGGGGACUGGGAGGAGGAGAGUGAGGUAUGCGUGCAUAGGCGUGCCUGUGUGUGCAUGAGGACCUUGAUGGGGAUGCACCCCUCUCGUGUAUAUUUCAUGCGUGUGUUGGUGUUGUAUGCGGAUUGUAUGGGGCUACCGCUGGCAGCUUAGUGGAACAUCUGGGGCACAGAUUCUGGAGCGGAAAGCCUAGUCUGCACCCUGGCUCUUCAGCUUGCUGGCAAAGGGUACCAGCCACCCUAAAAUAGGCCACUUUGGCACAUGGAUUAUUUUGAGCUAAAGGCCGUUGAGAACCAGCCACCACAGGAAAAGCUCCUUAUCUCCUCCUAACUGCCUAAAAAUUGAGUGCAGACAAUCCCCAACUUACCAUGGUCCAAUUUGGGGUUUUUCGGCUGUGAUGUUGCAUUCAGUACACUCCUGGACUUACAAUGGGUUAACUCAGAAUAAACCCAUCAUAAAUGGAAAAUAUUGUAAGUCGAAAAGGCACCAUCAUAAGUCAUGGAGCAGCUGUACAAAUAGACCCUUUUGUAAGGGAAAUUUCCACGUGUAAAGAUGUCUCAUACGUGGGAGAGAGCUGCUCCUGGGGAGCCCUGCUGUCACCUGAGGCUUUUCUCUGCAGAACAAGAUAACUCUUAUUUACCUACAUCUCCUCCUGACCCCUUCCCAGAACAGCCCUCCCCAGCCCAGAAACUCAAAACCCCUUUUCCUUUGUUGAUAUUUAAACCCCAGUCCCACCCACCCCUUUGGUUACUGAUCGCUGGGUGCUCUCAUGUGUAUACACAAUGCACUUAUUAAUGAACUUCGGUUUGUUUUUCUCUUGUUCAUCUGUCUUUUUCGAGUCUCCCUUAUGGGGCCCCAGCCAGAAAGCCUAAGGUGGGUGGAGGAAAAGGAUCAUUUCCUCGCUCAUGCCAUAGGGGAGGCAAGCUCUCCUAGAGGGGUGCUAGCCACCCCAAAAUAUGUCUCUUCGGCACAUAGACUAUUUUGAGCUAAAGGCCAUUGAGAACCAGCACAAGGUGCUGGAGAAAGGCCACAAAGAGUAUGUCAGGGAGGCCACCAGGAGCUCAUACUUCCUGGAGCUCAACAGGCUUGAGGCAGGACAUGCUGUGUGUGGGAAUUGUGUGGGGGUGGGCGGGGGGUUGGGAAGGAUGGAGGAAGAGAUUGUGUGUGCAUGGAGGAGGUGCAUGGGUGUGUGAGUGUGUGCACAGGUGUUCUGUGAGUAGGUGUAGGGGGCUGUGUGUGUGUAUGUGCAUGUGGGUGGGGCUGCACAGGUGUGUGGCUGUGCAAAGAGAUGUUCUAUGAGUAGGUGUAGGAGUGUGUGUGUGCGUGUGCAUCUGUGUGUGCAUGUGGGUGCAUGGCGUGUGGGUGAGUGCACAGGUGUGUGGGUAGAUAGGAGUGUGUGUGUGCGCGUGCGCAUGCGGGGGUGCUCAGGUGUAUGGGUGUGUGUGUGCACAGGUGUGUGGGUAGGUAGGGAUGUGUGUAUGUGUGAGAGUGUGUGUACAUGUGGGGGGUACAGAGGUGUGUAAGUGUGUGUGCACAGGUGUUGUGUGGGUAGGUAGGGGUGUGUGCAUAUGUGUGUGUGCAUGCGGGGGUGCACAGGUGUGUGGGUAGGUAGGGAUGUGUGUGUGUGCAUGUGGGGGUGCACAGGUGUGUGGGCGUGUGUGCACAGGUGUUGUGUAGGUAGCCCCCAAGGGGUGUGUGUGUGUGUGUGUGCAUGCAUACAUGUGUGUCUGGGCCGGGUGAGAGUGUCGGCACAUCUGUGCACGCAGUCAGCUCCAUCAAGGCUGAGGUUGAGGCUCUGACCCCUCACAGGACCUCUGGGAAUCCAGGCCUUGCUGCCAGUCCUCAGCUGCAGGCCAGGCAUCCACCGCAAGCCCUGGCUGGGGAGCAAGGUGAGAAAAAAGAGAAAUUUUGUAUCUGAGGAAUGUGAGCCCCUUUAAACGAUCAGGCCCAGAGAGGCACUGAAAUGUGACAGCAGCCAUGUCUCUCUCCUGCCUUGAGCUAAAUAAUGACUUCUUGAAGCCACUUGCUAUGUGGACUGACUGACACCAGGCAGCCAUAAAAUGCCAUCUGGACACCAUACUUCAUACCCUAUCAUUCAACAAUGCACAGCCAAUCACAGCUCAAUGUCAUCUCUGCAACCCAGUGAGAAUGCCUGUCAAACAACUGUAUCUGCUUCAAAAACCUGCUCGUAAUGAAGGCUGGACGGAGCACUCCCCAAGGCAUCUUAGAAGUGUGUCCUGGGUGGCCGGGUGCAGUGGCUCACACCUGUAAUCCCAGCACUUUGGGAGGCUGAGGCGGGUGUAUCGCGAGGUCAGGAGAUCGAGACCAUCCUGGCUAACACGGUGAAACCCCGUCUCUACUAAAAAUACAAAAAAAAAUUAGCCGGGCAUGGUCGUGGGUGCCUAUAGUCCCAGCUACUCGGGAGGCUGAGGCAGGAGAAUGGCAUGAACCCAGGAGGCAGAGCUUGCAGUGAGCGGAGAUCGUGCCACUGCACUCCAGCCUGGGUGACAGAGCAAGACUUCAUCUAAAAAAAAAAAAAAAAAGAAGUGUGUCCUGGGCUGCUGUCCUCAACCUUGGCCCAAAUAAACUCUCUAUAUUAAUUUUGCCUCAGUUUCUUUAUUUCAGUCAACAAAAGGUGACUCCAUGCAGCUCAGCCCCACAGGAGACCCCGGGGCCCCUGCUUGGAGCCCGUGAGAGCCUGUGAGGGCAGGAGGUCGCCCUCCUGAUGCCAAGGGAGGACACAUUUCUGCAGCCCACCUGUGUGACCUUUGUGUCCUCUCUUGGACCUCCAGAAGCCAUGCCCUGAGUGGGCACUGGGAUUCCACAGGACUCAGGGACGCACUCCACUUGGCUGUGGGGCCAUCUCAACCUCAGGACGGUGGGGCAGACAGAGUGUCAGGGCUCAGAGGCACCGCAGAGCCUCCCGGGCCAGGGUCUGCACUGGUCCCAACCACACACAGUAAGACACUGGAAAAACC